GGGGGUGUAGCUCAGUGUGGAGCAUUUGUCUGGCAUGCAUGAGGACCUGGGUUUGAUUCCCAGCACCACAC
RNAcentral lists this transfer RNA (71 nucleotides) under Heterocephalus glaber (naked mole-rat). It matches the Rfam family "tRNA". Rfam says of the family: Transfer RNA (tRNA) molecules are approximately 80 nucleotides in length. Lineage: Eukaryota; Metazoa; Chordata; Mammalia; Rodentia; Bathyergidae. The record is from Rfam by way of RNAcentral.